CAGGAAAUACCGACCGACUGACUGACUGACUUCAGAUCCUUAUCGACUCUAUAAUAUGAUGCAUUGGAUCGCGACGGUGAUGACUACGAUCGUCAUCAUCAUCUCGGCAGCUCCAUCAUCCGAGUGAAGUCCUCGAAGCACACGAACCCGUCCCCGUUCUUGUCCACCUCCGAGAUCAUGCGGCGGCACUCCUCGAGCGUGCACCGCUCGUCCCCGAACGCCGCGAACACCCCGAGGAGCUCCUCCGCCGUGAUUUUCCCGUCGUGGUCCGCGUCGAAGAACUCGAACGUCUCCCGCAGCUCGGCGUCGUCGCAGGCCGGCCCGCACGCCGGACCCACCCGGCUCAGCAGCUCCUCGAUGCUCACGGCGGCGUCCUCCCCCUCGCCGUGGCACCCCACCUCGCUCAGCAUCACCGCCACCUCGUCCCGGCUGCCGAGCCGGCUGAGCAGGGCCUCGAGCUCCUUCCGCGAGAGGAUCCCGUCGCCGUCCCGGUCGAUGAGCCCGAACGCGCGGGCGAGCUCGAGGUUGCUGCCGGCCCAGACCCCGCCCCCGCCGCCGCCGCCGCCGCCGCCGCGGCCGAGGACGCUGGUCGGGGUCAGGGACUCGCCCUUGAGGACGGAGGAGGAGGAUUCGUCCGAGGAGGAGGAGGACGACGAGGCGGCGCCGAAGGAAGGCGUUUCGGAGCGGGACGCGACGGAUCGGCCCUUCCGGGACCCGAAGAGGUGCUUAGGGCUGAGCUUGAGCGCCUUGGAGGUGAUCUUGACGAGCCUCAUGGC
Molecule: long non-coding RNA, 776 nt
Filed under: Eucalyptus grandis
Lineage: Eukaryota; Viridiplantae; Streptophyta; Magnoliopsida; Myrtales; Myrtaceae
Description: long non-coding RNA (EGRA_LNC000315)
Source: RNAcentral